CAUCCGAGGCCCAGGUCCCAAAGGGGCGUGGGAGGAGAUGGUGGGAGAGACAGCUAGGCCCCAUGCUGGACACCUGAGAGGGAGACCCUGGCUUUGUGUUGAGAGUUAGAUGGCGCUGGUACCUUUUCCCUCCAUGACCUUUAAAGCUUAGACUGAUGGCCUCACAGAUAUUUUUCUUCGGGGACAAAGGAUGAGGAUUUUCCAUCCCGAACAACAUGAAGCAAAUGCGCAUGGAUCUCCUGAUUUUUCAUUCAGACAGUGAUUACAGAGUAAACAGCACUGGGUCAGAUCAGCGUGCACGGUCAAUGUGGCCUGCAUAUGGUGACUAUCCCUCCCUGCACCGUGUGGCAGCCACAUUGUCCUGACCCACUGGGAAGCUUGUCACUUCCAGAGCGGCCCAGGAGAUGCAUGUCGACCAUCCCCACUUCAGGCUCCCACGUGGCAGGCUGCAGACCCCUGGCCAGGCUUUUUUUCUGAAACCUUUAGUGGAUUUUCCUUGAGGAUGACCGACAGAAUGAUGGUGAUGUAUUCUAGUCUCAUGGUCAGGCCUGCAAUCACAUUUCGAAGCAGCCUCCAGAUCCCUGCUCAGCAUUCUGUGACUGACGCGGGUGGAGGCAUUACAGUCCAGACAGAGUCAGUGCUAAUCAGAACAGGAUGCCCUUUAGCUUCCUCGGGAAAGCUUUAUCUCUUUAGCAGGAGCUAUCUGCAUUUUUAAAGCCACAGCCUGUUGGAAAGAGCUCCGAACCACAAAAAUGUACAGCAGGGGUAAGCAGAGUUCCUAGCCAUUAACCACCUCCAGGCAGUUAAUCAUUUCAGUUUAGAAGAACCCACGUUCGCUUCAAGAGCAAGUAUAUUCUGUUGGAAACCUACUAUGUUGGGCUCUUUCGAAAGCUAGUUCUGAUUCUCACAAUGCCCUGCUGAGCGGACGGGAGUCCCCCGUUGUAUGGACAAGCAGAUGAAGCUCAAUGAAUUAGUUGACUGCUCUAAGGUCUCAUGGUUGAUCUUGGGCACAGCUGGGGUUCGAAGCCCGUUCUUUCUGGCUCAGAGUCCUGUGCUCUUCUCAGCAGGAUGUGACGCUACCUCCCCCACUGCCAUUUUUCUGUGUGAUUAUAUGGGACCCAAGCUCCAGGUAAAUCUGAUUGUUAAGAAAAAGCCCCAAUAUACACAGAGGCACAAGAAAAAGGAAUAGAUCUCACCCUGUUGGUGAAGCCAAUGCGUGAACCUAAUGUGCAGAAAGACACCACUGACGUCUUCCCGGGCCCCUGCCUCGCAUCCUUGCCUUGCUGACUAUUUGGCCCUGGCCUAGAAAAUACAGUGCUCAUUCUCAGACGUGUAUGUGCAAGUGUUUGUCUCUCCAGCCAAGCUGUCCUCAGGUCCUUAGCCGUCUGCGUGUUCCCCAGCUCUCUACAAACAGCUAUCCUGGAAUAGCUAAAACUGAGAUUUUAAUAAUGUGUGCUUAAAGCAUUUAUGCUAAAAAAAACUUGCCAGUUCUGGCCAUUUCCAGUAACAAUAUGUGCUCUCAUCACUGCUAAGAGUCUGGCAAUGAGCAGAUGAUGCUACUGAAAGCAAGUGAAGACAGUGAGACAGGGCUCAAUCCAUGCCAUGCCUCUGAGAGCCUAGGAGUCAUGGCACAGCGCCAAGAAUACCCCUUCAACAUGACAAGCAGGACUCAGUUUCCCCCUUUUGAGCAUAUCAAGGAAAAACAUAUGUAAGGGCCUGCGCAGUGACUCACGACUGCAAUCCCAGCACUUUGGGAGGCCGAGGCGGAAGGAUUGCUUGAGGCCAGGGUUUGAGACCAGCC
Homo sapiens (human) is the source of this 1801-nucleotide long non-coding RNA. Lineage: Eukaryota; Metazoa; Chordata; Mammalia; Primates; Hominidae. The record is from Ensembl.